RNAcentral lists this ribosomal RNA (274 nucleotides) under uncultured bacterium. RNAcentral's name for it is "partial 16S ribosomal RNA". It matches the Rfam family "Archaeal small subunit ribosomal RNA", at positions 473 to 747 of the family's 1478-position model. The record is from RNAcentral.
AAACCAGCACCUCAAGUGGUCAGGAUGAUUAUUGGGCCUAAAGCAUCCGUAGCCGGCUUUGUCAGUUUUCGGUUAAAUCCAUACGCUCAACGUAUGGGCUGCCGGGAAUACUGCAAGGCUAGGGAGUGGGAGAGGUAGACGGUACUCGGUAGGAAGGGGUAAAAUCCUUUGAUCUAUUGAUGACCACCUGUGGCGAAGGCGGUCUACCAGAACACGUCCGACGGUGAGGGAUGAAAGCUGGGGGAGCAAACCGGAUUAGAUACCCGAGUAGUCC